RNAcentral lists this ribosomal RNA (460 nucleotides) under uncultured bacterium. RNAcentral describes it as "partial 16S ribosomal RNA". It matches the Rfam family "Bacterial small subunit ribosomal RNA", at positions 338 to 795 of the family's 1533-position model. The record is from RNAcentral.
CCUACGGGUGGCAGCAGUGAGGAAUAUUGGUCAAUGGUCGGGAGACUGAACCAGCCAAGCCGCGUGAGGGAGGAAGGUACAGAGUAUCGUAAACCUCUUUUGUCGGGGAACAAAGUCUGGGACGCGUCCCCCCCUGAGUGUACCUUAAGAACUAGCAUCGGCUAACUCCAGGCCAGCCGCCGCGGUAAUACGGAGGGUGCGAGCGUUGUGCGGAUUGGAUGGGUUUAAAGGGUGCGCAGGCGGGCUGUUAAGUCAGCGGUCAAAGCCCGGGGCUCAAACCCGGCACGGCCUUGGAAACUGGUGGUCUUGAGUGGGAGAGAAGUAUGCGGAACGCGCGGUGUAGCGGUGGAAUGCAUAGAUAUAGCGCAGAACUCCAAUUGCGAAGGCAGCAUGCCGGCUUGAAACUGACGCUGAGGCACGAAAGCAUGGGUAGCGAACAGGAUUAGAUACCCGAGUAGUC